CUACGGGGUGCAGCAGUGGGGAAUAUUGGACAAUGGGGGCAACCCUGAUCCAGCAAUGCCGCGUGUGUGAAGAAGGCCUGCGGGUUGUAAAGCACUUUAGGUAAUGAGGAAGGUUUAGUUGUGAAUAGCAACUGAAAUUGACGGUAGUUACAGAAUAAGCACCGGCUAACUCUGUGCCAGCAGCCGCGGUAAUACAGAGGGUGCAAGCGUUAAUCGGAAUGACUGGGCGGAAAGGGUGCGUAGGUGGUUUAUUAAGUUAGAUGUGAAAUUCCCGGGCUUAACCUGGGCACUGCAUAUAAUACUGAUAAGCUAGAGUAUGGGAGAGGUAAGUGGAAUUUCCGGUGUAGCGGUGAAAUGCGUAGAUAUCGGAAGGAACACCAGUGGCGAAGGCGGCUUACUGGCCUAAUACUGACACUGAGGCACGAAAGCGUGGGGAGCAAACAGGAUUAGAUACCCUGGUAGUC
RNAcentral lists this ribosomal RNA (464 nucleotides) under uncultured bacterium. Its description in RNAcentral is "partial 16S ribosomal RNA". It matches the Rfam family "Bacterial small subunit ribosomal RNA", at positions 339 to 795 of the family's 1533-position model. The record is from RNAcentral.